CGAGCCGGCCGGACGGCCGCGUCGGGACCCUUCACGGGGUUCCGCCGAGGAAGGUCCGGGCUCCACAGGGCAGGGUGGUCGGUAACGCCGACCCGGGGUGACCCGCGGGACAGUGCCACAGAGAACAGACCGCCUUUCCCAUACGGGGGAGGUAAGGGUGAAACGGUGGUGUAAGAGACCACCAGCGCCUCCGGUGACGGGGGCGGCUCGGUAAACCCCACCCGGAGCAAGGUCAAGAAGGGGACCUUCGGGUUUCCGCGCGCGCCGCUUGAGGACUGCCCGUCCGAUGGUGCGCGGGUAGACCGCUUGAGACCACGAGCAAUCGUGGCCCUAGAUGGAUGGCCGUCGGUCAGCGAUGACCACAGAACCCGGCCUAUAGGCCGACUCGUCCG
This 392-nucleotide RNase P RNA is filed under the name Herbidospora solisilvae. RNAcentral describes it as "Herbidospora sp. NEAU-GS84 RNase P RNA component class A". It matches the Rfam family "Bacterial RNase P class A". From Rfam's summary of the family: Ribonuclease P (RNase P) is a ubiquitous endoribonuclease, found in archaea, bacteria and eukarya as well as chloroplasts and mitochondria. Its best characterised activity is the generation of mature 5'-ends of tRNAs by cleaving the 5'-leader elements of precursor-tRNAs. Cellular RNase Ps are ribonucleoproteins. The record is from RNAcentral. Lineage: Bacteria; Bacillati; Actinomycetota; Actinomycetes; Streptosporangiales; Streptosporangiaceae.